GUGAGGAAUAUUGCGCAAUGGAGGCAACUCUGACGCAGCCAUGCCGCGUGCAGGAAGAAGGCGCUACGCGUUGUAAACUGCUUUUAACCGGGAAGAAACCCCAGGACGUGUCCUGGGUUGACGGUACCGGAGGAAUAAGCACCGGCUAACUUCGUGCCAGCAGCCGCGGUAAUACGAAGGGUGCAAGCGUUAUCCGGAUUCAUUGGGUUUAAAGGGUGCGUAGGCGGAGCGUUAAGUCAGUGGUGAAAUCCUGCAGCUUAACUGUAGACUUGCCAUUGAUACUGGCGCUCUUGAGUGCGCUUGAAGUGGGCGGAAUGUGCCGUGUAGCGGUGAAAUGCUUAGAUAUGGCACAGAACAACAAUUGCGAAGGCAGCUCACUAAGGCGAUACUGACGCUGAGGCACGAAAGCGUGGGGAUCGAACAGGAUUAGAAACCCCGGUAGUCC
This 445-nucleotide ribosomal RNA is filed under the name uncultured bacterium. RNAcentral describes it as "partial 16S ribosomal RNA". It matches the Rfam family "Bacterial small subunit ribosomal RNA", at positions 354 to 796 of the family's 1533-position model. The record is from RNAcentral.